UAUUCUUUUAUUAAUUUCAUUUAAUCCGUAUUAAUCUUAACCGUUGGAUUAAAAUGAUCCAACGACUCCCGUUUCGUCCCCUGAAAUUGUUUUUCUCUUAUUAUGUCUCAAAAUAUCCUAAUCCAUCGAUCCAAUUGAUCCAAAGGCCCACAUGCAAAAAUUAAACCCCAAGAAUCUCAUCAUUACACCAUCACUCACGCUUGAUCACUCAUUAAAACCUUGCAUGCAUCUUCGAUUCAAGAAGAUUUGGAGUAAUCUCUUGACCUCUGCAUGACAUAUGAUAGUCCGGGGGUCAAACGCAAGGACCUCUAGGUAAAAUCUUUAUACGGAAGUUAAACGGCUUCAAACUGCUAGUUCUUUAUUAUCUUUAGAGGGUAAAAUCUUCACCUCUUUUUCCCUCUGAUUUUUCAUUUUAUUCCGAAUAUUUCAUCGUGAAAUGUUUCGUCAAUGUUCGUCACUAAUUAUUUUCUUUUAUUGUUUGAAUCUGAAAGUUCAAAAUCUCAAACCCUAAAUCCCCAAUUCUUUGGCUAUAAAUACCAGGCUUUAAUGCCCUUACCAAACACACGAAUCAAUAGAGUAAAUUCACUACACUGAGAAUUUCUAUCUGCUCACAGUCAUUCCAUCUUUUCUUUCUUUCAUUUCUGGUCGAGGCUAAUUGUGCUUGAGCUGACAACGGGUACAAAUCCUUAACGGCUAAAUCAAAACUUGGUUUGCUGCCCUAAGGAAGGUCACUAUAAUUCCUUUUUCGUCUACCUUAAUGUCUGAAUUUGUGUAUGUGAACCUGAUAGUGUUUUUUUAUGCUCGACCAUUUUGAUGUAUACUGAUUAAAGUUCAUAUUGACAGUCGUGUUUUCUUACCUUGUUAGCAUGAAUAUGAUAUGAAGCAUGUUAUGAGAUCUGUCUACUUAGCAUGUUAUAGUUCAUGACUUUAACACUGAUCUUGUUCUGUUUUUGUUAAACCUCUGGUGAUUUGAAGUCAUUUAUUUGCUUUGUUAGUAUUAGCAAUAUAUGAUAUUCCAUAUUGUCACAAGAUUUUCUUGUUGAUAUAGAUACUAUGCCUAUAAGGUUUUAUUUGUUUCAGUUAAAAACAAUCUGAUGAAGUUCACCCAGUCUUGUUCUAUUAGCUUUUCCUUAUCCUCUGUAGCAUGAUUCUUGUGAAACUAACUGUAAACUUGACAAUACUUAGCCUAGACUAUUAGAUAUCAUGUGAUGUUUGAGCAUUCUUCUAAUUUAUGUAUUUGUUAGCUCCCUAAAGCUAGUUUAGGUUCAUUUAGAUUUCCAAUUUCUGAUGACUUGGACUCAUUAAGUAUAGAAACCAUGUUCGAUGAAGGUUAUUAUUGUGUUCUCUAAUGCACUUGUCUAACCUUAGUAAAGUACCAGGCCUCUAUUGAACUUUAUUUAACGAGUACAUGUUUGAGUAUUUACCUCAUACUAAACUAUGGUUAGUAUCUUAAAUGACUUAGAUUAACUUGAAAUCAUCUUUAAUAUAGCAAUCAUGCUUACAGAGGUACACUGUUAGUAAUAUUUUAUUUGUAUGACUCUCAUUUCAUCAUUCUUCUUUAAAACAGUGAUUCCCAAGAGGAUUAUAUAUCUUAUUUCAUGCAAAGUGAUUAUAAAUUUCCUUGUGAGUCUUGAAACCUCUUAAAGAAUUUUCUGAGAUCCCAUGACCAUAUGUGAUAAUAUUGUUUUGUACGAUGUACUUCUAACUGUGAUUAGUUCACUACGAAUAUUUGAAAUCCAAAGCAUGUCUAGCACAUCGUUUGUUUAUGUCAUUUGCCUAUAUGAGUACUUCAGUCACAAUUGAUUUUCUGUUGACGAUUUGAGGCACUGUGCUAGACUCUCUGUGUUUUAUAAAUUUACUUGUAAGAAUUGUUUGAAUCUAUUUGGUCAGACUAUUGAUUGAAUAUCUAAGUUGAUAUUUUGGUUCAAAUCUUCAUGGAGGAAUAAAUAUCAGUGACUAUUGGCCUUUGCUGUGGAUUUGACUCUACUACAAGGAGUCCCUCCCUGGCAUAAGCAUUGCCGGGCCCUAAAGACCUUUGUGAACUCGAAAGUGCUAAGGGGUCAAAGGGAAAUCUUGUGAGGGGAGUGUGAUCCACUCUAGACAAUAGCUAUUGACUUUAACUAAUAUCUAGAGGGUUAUCACAAAAAUAACUUGACUUGCUUCGUUACUUUAGAUUAUAAUUAUAUUCAUAUGUUAUGUUUCUGCUUUUACAUUCUAUAUGCAAAUACUAAUUAAUUUUCUCUUCUCCUUUUGCAUGAGCACGGCCAGCGGAGUUCAUUGUGAACUCUGGCCCAAGUUCAAUGAACUGGGCCACCACUCUCCUCGCUGCAUUACUGUCGCUUAAGCCUGUUGCUAGUUGAUUUAACUGGGCCUGGUGCUUGUUAGCCCAUUAUAAGAGUCUGGCCCCCCCCCCCCCCCCCCCCCCCCCCUAAAACUUUUAUAUUAUUGAUGUUGUUAGCCCAUUUCCUUGGAUAUUGUAUAAUGAAACUAACAUUGUUAUUAUGUUUUCUUAUCUUUGCUGUGAUUGUUUAGGAAAGGAUCUUAGUGUAAACUAAUCUUGUAGGGUAAAAAGUAAAUACUAUCAGGAUAGCUUUUCACUUUAUAAGGCUAAAUAUUUUCAAAACUUGAGUAUGUAUCAAUUGUUUUAUCAAUUAAAUUCUCUUUCGUUCACUUGUAUUUUUUUCUAACACGUUUUCUGUUUAAACAUUAGCAAAAUCGAAUCAAGAUAAUUUUGAAAAAAGUCUUCAAUUGAUCAGUUAGGCAAACUUGGCAAAAAAACACAUUUUAAAAGGCGAUGCUGAAUAUAAAUUUGGUCUGGACUUCACAAGGAUAAAAUAUGGGAAAAUGACACUGUAUAGCCGUUGUAAAAAUAAUAACCGAAAGAAUAUAUAUAAUUUGUAUAAUUUUAUAUAUAUAUAUAUAUAUAUAUAUAUAUAUAUUUGGUAUGUUAUAUAUAAAAAUUAUACAAAUUUUAUAUACUUUUUCGACUAACAAAUAUAAAUAGUUUCUGGUACGUGCUAAAAGUGAUAAUACAUGUCGAAUAACUUAGACCAAAUGAGUCUUUUAAAACACAAUCAUGGUAUAGAUAUUUACACAUCUUGGUUCAUAAAAGGUUGAGAUUCGUAGAGUCAUAUUUUUACCAUCUUUAAACAAUUCUCAUUAUUUUAAAAAGAAUGGCCUUACAACUUAGUUUUGAAAUUAAACAUUCUUUUGUAAAUCGUAAACCUAUUUUAAAAAAUAAGUGUCUUUUUUUAAGACUAAACACUUUAUCACCUAAUUAAGCUUUCACAUAGACCCAUUUAGCAACCUUAAUCAUUGAUAGACUAGGAUAUAAAUAAUUCUCUCCCAGUCUUUAGCCUAAGUUUAAGGAACUACAUUAAUAUAGAUACUCAGGGAUGCCUAACACCUUCCCUUUUGAUUAACUAGAACCCUUACCCAGAUUCUCACUAGUUCAACAGAUCAUUAAGAUAUUAAUCUUUACUUACUCAUAGGUACCCUAGUAUAACUUUAAAUAUUAGGUGGUGACUCUACUUUUUAUUAACCUCAGAGGAACCACAAGUUGUAUUUUAUUUUGAACAGUACAAAAUAGGGUGCAAUAGAGCAUAUAAAGCUUUAGGAAACAUCACUUUCUUUCUUUCUCUAUCAUGCGAUUUUUUUCUAUCAUGUGCUUGAACCUUUCUUCUCUUAUUCAAUAACAGAUUGUGAGGAAUGUGCUUCGUCUGCUGCUGAGCAGGAGCAGGAGCCCCAGGUUUGUAAUCACUACCAGGGGUAGGGGCCGGGGUAAGGGAAAGGGCAAGGGCAAGGGCAAAUGCAGCGAUGGAGGAAGAGCUUAGCCUAGAGCACCCGCAACAUCACCCGCAGUCGAGCCUCAUAUAGCUCAAGAUGAUGAGGUCCCAGAUCAGGUUGAGCUAGUGGGACCGGCUCAGGCUCCGGAGGGGUUUAUUGCUACCAUAGUGCUUCAGGACGCCUUAGUCCGCAUGGUUGGUUUCAGGGAGAGUAUGGCUCAGGUCGAUGUGUAUUCUGUGGAACCCGUCGUUUCUUAGGCUGGGGGAGGAGUUUGGACUCCUCUACUCAAACUCCAGAGCAGAUGGCUCAUGGGUAUCAGACCUCAAGAGUUCUACUAGUUGGGGUGGUUUACACAUCCCAGGGUGUCACGACCCAAAAUCCACAAGUCGUGAUGGCACCUAACCCAACCCUCUAGGUAAGCCAAUAAUCAUAUAAUUAACAAUAAAAAUGAGAUAACAUGUUCUAAUAGCUCAACAUCGGAAUAAUGUCGUAGAAUAACUGAGAAUAUAGUCAAAAUGCUACUACAACCCAAGCCCAAAAUUUGGUGUCAACAAGUACACAUGCACUAUGAAUCAUAAAAUAUGGAAUAUAUACUCUGAUACAAAUGUUUGAACAUAUGAAAUAGUAAAGAUAAAGAUAACAGGAAGAGAGCUUCAAGGACUGCGGACGAAAUGGCAGCUAUCGCGUAGACUCCCAAGCAAGCUGGCAAAACUCAAGCCGAAAAAUCACCUCGACCGGAUGUACCUAGAUCUGCACAUGAAGUGCAGAGUGUAGUAUGAGUACAACCGACUCAAUGUAAUCAAUAAGUAACAUCACUAACCUUGGUUUGAAAGUAGUGACGAGCUGAGAACAACAGUCAAAUAAUAGUACCAAUAACCAAUAAUAGUUCAGAAAAUACAGGAUAAACCAUGGAACACAGUAAAUCAAUGAUAUCAAGUACAACCCGUCCUCAUUUCAGGAAUUUAGGCAUGUUUUCAAGUAUAACAGUUGAAAAUACAACACAGAUAAAGUAGGUCAAUUAACAGUUAGCAUGAUAAAAGUACAUCUCUAUGCCUACAUGUCAAGUAUACACAUAAAUCAAUAGUAUCACAGUAGAUACAUCAACAGUAUUUACACUUAGCACUGUACGAGUGCCUGGAAUAUCUGCCCAUCAUCAAGCACAUAUAUGAAACACUGUGCCUGCGCCCACUGCUGGCAUGUCAAACUUUGGAGGAGCGGAACCUGCCCAAGCGCUAAUUAUAAUCACUUAGCCCAAUAAUGAGGCCAGGUGUACACGUCGCCUCAAAACAAUAACACUCAGCCCAAUAUAGGCCUAGCGUACGUGUCUCCACAAAUUUUGUACAUAAGUCAUAAAUGACACUACGGACCUAUUCCAACUCCUGGAACCAAAGCCGAAUCCCGAUACCAACAAAGUCAACUCUCGGUCAAACUUUUCAACCUUCUAAACCUCCAACUUUCCAAAUUUCGCCAAUUCAAGCCUAAGUCCAAAAGUUCAAAAUCACCAUAUGAAGCUAUCGGAACCAUCAAAACUUCAUUCCGGAGUCGUCUAUAAAAAAGUUAAACUCUGGUGAACUCUUUCAGUUUAAGCCUUCAACUUUGGGACUAAAUAUCCAAUUUCACUACUAACUAUCCCCGAAACCAAAUCAACCACUUCGAAAAGUCACAUAACUAUAAUUAAACGUAUAAGAAGCGAUAAAUAGGGGAACGGGGCUACAAUAAUCGAAAUGACCGGCCGGGUUAUUAUAUUCUCCCCCUCUUAAACAAACAUUCGUCCUCAAACGGGUCUAGAAUCAUACCUGGAGUCUUAAAUAAGUAUGGAUAGCUGCUCCGCAUCUCUUCCUCGGUCUCCCAAGUAGCCUACUCGACUGGCUGACCUCUCAAUUGAACUUUUACUGAAGUUAUAUUCUUUGAUCUCAACUUUCGAACUUGCCGUUCCAAAAUGGCCAUCGGCUCCACAUCACAAGUCAAAUUCCCAUCUAACUGAACCGUGCUGAAAUCUUAAACAUGAGACGGAUCACCAUAAUACUUUCGCAGAAUAGAAACAUAGAACACUUGCUGAACACCCGAUAGAUUGGGUGGCAAUGCAAGUUUGUAGGCCACCUCUCCAAUCCUCUCAAGAACCUCAAAAGUACCAAUAUACCGAUGGAUCAACUAUCCCUUCUUCUCGAACCUCAUCACAUCCUUCAUGGGUGAUACUUUGAGAAAAACCUUCUCUCCCACCAUAUAUGCAACAUCAUGAACCUUCCGAUCAGCGUAACUCUUCUGUCUAGACUGUGCCGUGCGAAGCCGAUCCUGAAUUAACUUGACCUUUUCCAAGGCAUCCUGAACCAGAUCCAUGCCAAACAACCUAGCCUCCCCC
Molecule: long non-coding RNA, 6145 nt
Filed under: Nicotiana tabacum (common tobacco)
Lineage: Eukaryota; Viridiplantae; Streptophyta; Magnoliopsida; Solanales; Solanaceae
Description: long non-coding RNA (NTAB_LNC005769)
Source: RNAcentral